CGGGCCGUGGCGCAGCCUGGUAGCGCGUUUGACUGGGGGUCAAAAGGUCGCAGGUUCGAAUCCUGUCGGCCCGAC
RNAcentral lists this transfer RNA (75 nucleotides) under Planctomycetes bacterium MalM25. RNAcentral describes it as "tRNA-Pro". It matches the Rfam family "tRNA". From Rfam's summary of the family: Transfer RNA (tRNA) molecules are approximately 80 nucleotides in length. Their secondary structure includes four short double-helical elements and three loops (D, anti-codon, and T loops). Further hydrogen bonds mediate the characteristic L-shaped molecular structure. tRNAs have two regions of fundamental functional importance: the anti-codon, which is responsible for specific mRNA codon recognition, and the 3' end, to which the tRNAs corresponding amino acid is attached (by aminoacyl-tRNA synthetases). tRNAs cope with the degeneracy of the genetic code in two manners: having more than one tRNA (with a specific anti-codon) for a particular amino acid; and 'wobble' base-pairing, i.e. permitting non-standard base-pairing at the 3rd anti-codon position. Lineage: Bacteria; Pseudomonadati; Planctomycetota. The record is from RNAcentral.